CCGUGGAUCGGUGGGCUCGGCCGGCUCGCCGCCGUCGAGUCGACGGCGAGCGAGCUCGUCGACCCGUUCCGCAGCGGGCUCGACGGUCC
RNAcentral lists this transfer RNA (89 nucleotides) under Acidimicrobiales bacterium. RNAcentral's name for it is "tRNA-Gly". The record is from RNAcentral. Lineage: Bacteria; Bacillati; Actinomycetota; Acidimicrobiia; Acidimicrobiales.